RNAcentral lists this ribosomal RNA (498 nucleotides) under uncultured bacterium. RNAcentral describes it as "partial 16S ribosomal RNA". It matches the Rfam family "Bacterial small subunit ribosomal RNA", at positions 30 to 523 of the family's 1533-position model. The record is from RNAcentral.
AUUGAACGCUGGCGGCAUGCCUUACACAUGCAAGUCGAACGGUAACAGGUCUUCGGAUGCUGACGAGUGGCGAACGGGUGAGUAAUACAUCGGAACGUGCCUAGUAGUGGGGGAUAACUACUCGAAAGAGUGGCUAAUACCGCAUGAGAUCUACGGAUGAAAGCAGGGGAUCGCAAGACCUGGUGCUACUAGAGCGGCCGAUGGCAGAUUAGGUAGUUUGUGGGAUAAAAGCUUACCAAGCCGACGAUCUGUAGCUGGUCUGAGAGGACGAUCAGCCACACCGGGACUGAGAAACGGCCCAGACUCCUACGGGAGGCAGCAGUGGGGAAUUUUGGACAAUGGGCGCAAGCCUGAUCCAGCAAUGCCGCGUGCAGGAUGAAGGCCUUCGGGUUGUAAACUGCUUUUGUACGGAACGAAAAGCCCCGGGUUAAUACCCUGGGGUCAUGACGGUACCGUAAGAAUAAGCACCGGCUAACUACGUGCCAGCCGCCGCCGUAA